AACUUGCUGCAAUGUAUCACUUGGUUCUGGCAUCGAUGAAGAACGCAGCGAAAUGCGAUAAGUAAUGUGAAUUGCAGAAUUCAGUGAAUCAUCGAAUCUUUGAACGCACAUUGCGCCCGGUGGCAUUCCGCCGGGCAUGCCUGUUCGAGCGUCAUUUAAACCAAUCCAGCCUCGUGCUUGGGUCUUGGGCCUUUCGCCUCUGGGCGGGCCUCAAAAUCAGUGGCGGCGCCUCCUGGCUCUACGCGUAGUAAUACUCCUCGCUAUAGAUGUCUGGUGGUGUCCUGCCAAAACCCCCAUAUUUUUUAAGGUUGACCUCGGAUCAGGUAGGGAUACCCGCUGAACUUAAGCAUAUCAAUAAGCGGAGGCU
This 367-nucleotide unclassified non-coding RNA is filed under the name uncultured Leotiomycetes. RNAcentral describes it as "sequence contains ITS2". The stretch from base 1 to 154 matches the Rfam family "5.8S ribosomal RNA". The record is from RNAcentral. Lineage: Eukaryota; Fungi; Ascomycota; Leotiomycetes.